AGGACUAACGCUGGCGGCGUGCCUAACACAUGCAAGUCGAACGAGAGUAGCAAUACUCUAGUGGCAGACGGGUGAGUAACACGUGGUCAACCUACCUUUAAGUGGGGGAUAACUAGCCGAAAGGUUAGCUAAUACCGCAUACGAUCUUCGCGUGGCAUCACAUGAAGAUGAAAGGAGCAAUCCGCUGAAAGACGGGACCGCGUCCCAUUAGCCAGUUGGUGGGGUAACGGCCUACCAAAGCAACGAUGGGUAGCUGGCUUGAGAGAGCGACCAGCCACACUGGGACUGAGACACGGCCCAGACUCCUACGGGAGGCAGCAGUGAGGAAUUUUCCGCAAUGGGCGAAAGCCUGACGGAGCGACGCCGCGUGUGGGAUGAAGGCCUUCGGGUCGUAAACCACUGUCGAAGGGGAAGAUAUUGACGGUACCCUUGGAGGAAGCCCCGGCUAACUACGUGCCAGCAGCCGC
This 467-nucleotide ribosomal RNA is filed under the name uncultured bacterium. RNAcentral's name for it is "SSU rRNA". It matches the Rfam family "Bacterial small subunit ribosomal RNA", at positions 26 to 518 of the family's 1533-position model. The record is from RNAcentral.